Molecule: ribosomal RNA, 496 nt
Filed under: uncultured bacterium
Lineage: Bacteria
Description: partial 16S ribosomal RNA
Rfam family: Bacterial small subunit ribosomal RNA
Source: RNAcentral
GAUGAACGCUGGCGGCGUGCCUAAUACAUGCAAGUCGAGCGAACGGACGAGAAGCUUGCUUCUCUGAUGUUAGCGGCGGACGGGUGAGUAACACGUGUAUAACCUACCUAUAAGACUGGGAUAACUUCGGGAAACCGGAGCUAAUACCGGAUGAUAUUUUGAACCGCAUGGUUCAAAAGUGAAAGACGGUCUUGCUGUCACUUAUAGAUGGAUCCGCGCUGCAUUAGCUAGUUGGUAAGGUAACGGCUUACCAAGGCAACGAUGCAUAGCCGACCUGAGAGGGUGAUCGGCCACACUGGAAGUGAGACACGGUCCAGACUCCUACGGAAGGCAGCAGUAGGGAAACUUCCGGAAUGGGCGAAAGCCUGACGGAGCAACGCCGCGUGAGUGAUGAAGGUCUUCGGAUCGUAAAACUCUGUUAUUAGGGAAGAACAUAUGUGUAAGUAACUGUGCACAUCUUGACGGUACCUAAUCAGAAAGCCACGGCUAACUACGU